RNAcentral lists this ribosomal RNA (539 nucleotides) under uncultured archaeon. Its description in RNAcentral is "bacterial SSU rRNA". It matches the Rfam family "Archaeal small subunit ribosomal RNA", at positions 325 to 864 of the family's 1478-position model. The record is from RNAcentral.
AUGGGGCGCAGCAGGCGCGAAAACUUUACACUGCACGACAGUGCGAUAAGGGAACUCCAAGUGCGAGGGCAUAUAGUCCUCGCUUUUGUGUAUCGUAAGGUGGUACACGAAUAAGAGCUGGGCAAGACCGGUGCCAGCCGCCGCGGUAAUACCGGCAGCUCAAGUGAUGACCGAUUUUAUUGGGCCUAAAGCGUCCGUAGCCGGCCACGAAGGUCCAUCGGGAAAUCCGCCAGCUCAACUGGCGGGCGUCCGGUGGAAACCACGUGGCAUGGGAUCGGAAGGCUCGAGGGGUACGUCCGGGGUAGGAGUGAAAUCCUGUAAUCCUGGACGGACCACCGAUGGCGAAAGCACCUCGAGAAGACGAAUCCGACGGUGAGGGACGAAAGCUAGGGUCUCGAACCGGAUUAGAUACCCGGGUAGUCCUAGCUGUAAACGAUGCUCGCUAAGUGUGGCACACGCUACGAGCGUGUGCUUCGCUGCAGCGAAGGCGUAAGCGAGCCGCCUGGGAAGUACGUCCGCAAGGAUGAAACUUAAAGGAA